AGGAGCCGAAUGAAACCAAAGUUUCAUGUUCGGUUUUGAAUUAGAGACGUUAAAAAGAAUGAAUUAACGUCGACUAUAAC
Non-coding RNA from Amborella trichopoda, 80 nucleotides. NCBI's taxonomy places the organism in Eukaryota, Viridiplantae, Streptophyta, Magnoliopsida, Amborellales, Amborellaceae. The record is from Rfam.